AGAGAUCUCCAGCAGCAUUGACCUACAUUCAUUGCUAACAACUUAAAAUACGCAGAUGAUCACAUGCAGAAAAAGCACAAAAAAUCACACAGAAUUCAUGGUAUAUAAUUGAAAACAAACUAAUGAGGAACUGGAGUUGGAGGUCACCAGGCAAUGCAUAGUGACCAUCUUUCAUAUUCCCAAAAAGCAUUUCACGUCUAUGCUAGUUAAAUGCGAAUGUUUGCAAAUCAAUGAUAGAUAUUUCUUUUCAUUGAGUGCAAGGAGGCCACCAUAAACAUUAAACAUUAAAUUCAACCUGAGUACAGCAAUGGCAGGUUGUUCUGAACUGAAACUGACUAGUAACUACAAGCCAUGCCAAGAAAAAAAGAGGCAUCAAAACCCACUAGGAUUGGAUAACUCCAAGUCACCAUCAAGAGGUAAUAUUCCUGAAAGAAGUUAAUUGUUUCACAUCCCAAGAUGUAGAGGUUACAUUUCUCCACCCUUUGGAGAAGAAGGUAAGGAUUCAGAUGCAGUCAUCUUAUGGCCCCAGCCACAGAGAGAGAGAGAGAGAGA
Molecule: unclassified non-coding RNA, 552 nt
Filed under: Hevea brasiliensis (rubber tree)
Lineage: Eukaryota; Viridiplantae; Streptophyta; Magnoliopsida; Malpighiales; Euphorbiaceae
Source: RNAcentral